GUAUAUCCUUUCUGUGGAUGCAGUUGGAAUUAUGCUGCUGAGUUAGUGGACAUUUAUAAUGUCAGGUCUUGAAUUAAAAUCAUUUUGUUUGUCAUAGAUUCUGGUACUGAGAUGAUCGCUUAUGUCAAUUUGAGAUAUAAGUCUACAAAUGAGGGUGAACAGUGUCUGACGCUUUUUUAAUUUAUAGUUCGGAAGGAUAUAUUAAUAGAACCCACUCAGAAAGUGUGGAUUGUUAAUGAAAAAAUACAUCAUCAAUAUAUCUAAAUGUGAAAUCUAAUGAUCAGGUUUCUUUGAAUUUAUUGUUUUACCAGUUUCUGAAGGACCUCCAAAUCGUAGGAAAUAAGAAGAUGUCGGCAAGGAGAGGUCCACAGUUAGUUCCCACUCGAAAUAAAGCCAACAGCAGUAUGUAUAUCGCAGUUCAAAAGUCUUCAUAAAUCGACAAAGAGAAAACAAAUCCGGGUUACAAACUAAAACCGAAGGAAACCCAUGUUACUAGUUAAUUUGACUUUGGAAAUUUUCCUUCUACUGUCACAGUGGGUUAUACUGGGCUUUAUUAUUUUCAAAGAUUACUAAAAUGCAUGGUAAUACAAAGACAUAGUUUCGAAGCAUUUUUCCCGAACAUAGAUCUUUUAACAUCAUGAAAAUGGGCAUAUAUUUGCAGUGAAUUUAUAUCUUUACAGUCAGCA
RNAcentral lists this long non-coding RNA (686 nucleotides) under Mytilus galloprovincialis (Mediterranean mussel). The record is from RNAcentral. Lineage: Eukaryota; Metazoa; Mollusca; Bivalvia; Mytilida; Mytilidae.